This 216-nucleotide ribosomal RNA is filed under the name Glomeromycotina sp. RNAcentral's name for it is "partial small subunit ribosomal RNA". The stretch from base 40 to 216 matches the Rfam family "Eukaryotic small subunit ribosomal RNA", at positions 686 to 864 of the family's 1831-position model. Lineage: Eukaryota; Fungi; Glomeromycota. The record is from RNAcentral.
GGGUCAGUAGGUUGGUCGUGCCACCGGUACGUACUGGUCUCACUGAUUCCUCCUUCCUGAAGAACCGUAAUGCCAUUAAUUUGGUGUUGCGGGGAAACAGGACUGUUACUUUGAAAAAAUUAGAGCGUUUAAAGCAAUCUAACGCUUGAAUACAUUAGCAUGGAAUAAUGAAAUAGGACGAUCGAUCCUAUUUUGUUGGUUUCUAGGAUUGACGUA